Molecule: long non-coding RNA, 763 nt
Organism: Pseudophryne corroboree (corroboree frog)
Lineage: Eukaryota; Metazoa; Chordata; Amphibia; Anura; Myobatrachidae
Exons: 4
Source: RefSeq, a predicted model, not a curated record
UGCGGAGACUGACUUCAAGCCACCAGCAGGCGGAGCCACAGGCUGCUGCAUCGUGAAAAGGACAUGAGUUGUCGUGUUGUCCGUCGAUUUGCAAGUUAUGCUGCAUGUGUCUCUGUGCUACUGAUCAGUAAAUGUGUAUAAGGAUCUGCAGAGGUUGUGCUCUUCCUCUCCUCUACCUUUCAGGAUGAAACCAAACAAAAAGAGUAGAUUGAUAUAAGAAAAUGCUAAAGGGUCCUAUGAGAAAUGUGAUUAAGAAAAUGUCUUUAUGACUAAUAUAGAAGAUGCGUAGGAGCCUUAGAUAGAAGCAUAGAGAAGUCAGGUGCUUCAGUGUAGCUGCCAAGGGCAGGACACCAAUGUAUGCCCGCAGGAUGCACACUGAUUUCCAGCUACUACCCGUGGCAUAAUGCCAGGCACUCUUCAUUUAGCCAUGGGGAUCUCCUCAGUUCCAAGCAUUGCAGUCCUGUCCAUUCUGGUACUUGUACCCUACUCUAAUGUGUUUGACAUCCUGGUAUUGACCCUGAACUACAUCGAAACAGGCUGAUGCUGAUCUUUGUUUUCCAAUCAUCUUCAACUCUACAAGCUACCAUCAGGAGCCAUCUGUCAUCCUUUCUGUAAACCGGGACUUGAGAGGAAAGGAAACUGGACAUUAUAUCAUCUAUUCAGUGUGAUGAGUCCAGGAUGCCACUACAGGUUUUAUCUUUAUUUGAUGUAUGUAACUGGGUUUUAUCAUAUGAGUGCAAUAUAGUUUAUAAGAAAUAAAAUA